UACGUAGGUGGCAAGCGUUGUCCGGAAUUAUUGGGCGUAAAGCGCGCGCAGGCGGCCUCUUAAGUUCUGAUGUGAAAGCCCCCCGGCUCAACCGGGGAGGGCCAUUGGAAACUGGGAGGCUUGAGUAUAGGAGAGAAGAGUGGAAUUCCACGUGUAGCGGUGAAAUGGCGUUAGAGAUGUGGAGGAACACCAGUGGCGAAGGCGACUCUUUGGCCUAUAACUGACGCUGAGGCGCGAAAGCGUGGGGAGCAAACAGG
This 257-nucleotide ribosomal RNA is filed under the name uncultured bacterium. RNAcentral describes it as "partial 16S ribosomal RNA". It matches the Rfam family "Bacterial small subunit ribosomal RNA", at positions 524 to 776 of the family's 1533-position model. The record is from RNAcentral.